Molecule: transfer RNA, 58 nt
Filed under: Toxascaris leonina
Lineage: Eukaryota; Metazoa; Nematoda; Chromadorea; Rhabditida; Ascarididae
Description: tRNA-Leu
Source: RNAcentral
GUAUAUAUAGUAUAAUAAUAAUAUAAUGGAUUUAGGAUUCAUAGAUAUAUUGUAUACU